This 544-nucleotide ribosomal RNA is filed under the name uncultured bacterium. RNAcentral describes it as "bacterial SSU rRNA". It matches the Rfam family "Bacterial small subunit ribosomal RNA", at positions 650 to 1146 of the family's 1533-position model. The record is from RNAcentral.
CCCUGCCGUGGGAGGAAUGUGUGGUGUAGCGGUGAAAUGCAUAGAGAUCACACAGAACACCGAUUGCGAAGGCAUCUCACGAAGGGGUGAUUGACGCUGAGGCACGAAAGCGUGGGGAUCAAACAGGAUUAGAUACCCUGGUAGUCCACGCAGUAAACGAUGAUGGCUAACCGCUGGGCUUAUCAGUUCAGUGGCCAAGCGAAAGCGAUAAGCCAUCCACCUGGGGAGUACGACCGCAAGGUUGAAACUCAAAGGAAUUGACGGGGGCCCGCACAAGCGGAGGAACAUGUGGUUUAAUUCGAUGAUACGCGAGGAACCUUACCCGGGCUCGAACGGCAGAGGAACAAUCCAGAGAUGGUGCGGCCCUACGGGGCUUCUGUCGAGGUGCUGCAUGGUUGUCGUCAGCUCGUGCCGUGAGGUGUCGGGUCAAGUCCCAUGCCUUGUACACACCGCCCGUCACACCAUGAGAGCCGGGAACACCCGAAGUCCGUAGUCUAACCUGAAAAGGAGGGCGCGGCCGAAGGUGGGUUUGGUAAUUGGGGUG